GGGCAUGGCGGCUGCCUAUACAUGCAGUCGACGAACCAUCCUGUAUGAUUGAAGCUUGCUUCAUGAUUCAGAUUUUGGUGAGUGGCGGACGGGUGAGUAACACGUGGGUAACCUGCCCAAAAGUGGGGGAUAACAUUUGGAAACAAGUGCUAAUACCGCAUAACAACUACUUUCACAUGAUCGUAGCUUGAAAGAUGGCUCUGCUAUCGCUUUUGGAUGGACCCGCGGCGUAUUAGCUAGUUGGUGAGGUAAUGGCUCACCAAGGCAAUGAUACGUAGCCGACCUGAGAGGGUAAUCGGCCACAUUGGGACUGAGACACGGCCCAAACUCCUACGGGAGGCAGCAGUAGGGAAUCUUCCACAAUGGGCGAAAGCCUGAUGGAGCAAUGCCGCGUGAGUGAAGAAGGUUUUCGGAUCGUAAAACUCUGUUGUUGAAGAAGAACAUGCGUGAGAGUAACUGUUCACGUACUGACGGUAUUCAACCAGAAAGCCACGGCUAACUACGUGCCAGCAGCCGCGGUAAUACGUAGGUGGCAAGCGUUGUCCGGAUUUAUUGGGCGUAAAGAGAAUGUAGGCGGUUUAUUAAGUUUGAAGUGAAAGCCCUCGGCUCAACCGAGGAAGUGCUUCGAAAACUGGUAAACUUGAGUGCAGAAGAGGAAAGUGGAACUCCAUGUGUAGCGGUGGAAUGCGUAGAUAUAUGGAAGAACACCAGUGGCGAAGGCGGCUUUCUGGUCUGUAACUGACGCUGAGAUUCGAAAGCAUGGGUAGCAAACAGGAUUAGAUACCCUGGUAGUCCAUGCCGUAAACGAUGAGUGCUAAGUGUUGGAGGGUUUCCGCCCUUCAGUGCUGCAGCUAACGCAUUAAGCACUCCGCCUGGGGAGUACGACCGCAAAGGUUGAAACUCAAAAGGAAUUGACGGGGGCCCGCACAAGCGGUGGAGCAUGUGGUUUAAUUCGAAGCAACGCGAAGAACCUUACCAGUCUUGACAUACCAUGAAAAGCUAAGAGAUUAGUCUUUCCCUUCGGGGACAUGGAUACAGGUGGGUGCAUGGUUGUCGUCAGCUCGUGUCGUGAGAUGUGGGGUUAAGUUCCCGCACGAGCGCAACCUUAUUAUCAGUUGCAGCAUCAGCGGCACCUCUGGGUGAGACUGCAGUGACCAAUCGAGUAAGGUGGGACGACGUCAAUCCAUCAUGCUCC
This 1195-nucleotide ribosomal RNA is filed under the name Companilactobacillus farciminis. RNAcentral's name for it is "bacterial SSU rRNA". It matches the Rfam family "Bacterial small subunit ribosomal RNA", at positions 33 to 1201 of the family's 1533-position model. Lineage: Bacteria; Bacillati; Bacillota; Bacilli; Lactobacillales; Lactobacillaceae. The record is from RNAcentral.